RNAcentral lists this ribosomal RNA (484 nucleotides) under uncultured bacterium. RNAcentral's name for it is "partial 16S ribosomal RNA". It matches the Rfam family "Bacterial small subunit ribosomal RNA", at positions 29 to 507 of the family's 1533-position model. The record is from RNAcentral.
AUGAACGCUGGCGGCGUGCUUAACACAUGCAAGUCGAACGGGAUCCAAGGGGUGCUUGCACUUUUUGGUGAGAGUGGCGAACGGGUGAGUAACACGUGAGUAACCUGUCCUUUUCUUUGGGAUAAGCAUUCGAAAGGGUGUUUAAUACCUUAUGUUCUGUCUGCCUCGCAUGGGGUGGGUGGGAAAGGCUUUGGCCGGAUUUGGGUGGGCUCGCGGUCUAUCAGCUUGUUGGUGGGGUGAUGGCUUACCAAGGCUUUGACGGGUAGCCGGCCUGAGAGGGUGGUCGGUCACAUUGGGACUGAGAUACGGCCCAGACUCCUGCGGGAGGCAGCAGUGGGGGAUAUUGCACAAUGGGCGAAAGCCUGAUGCAGCGACGCCGCGUGGGGGAUGAAGGCCUUCGGGUUGUAAACUUCUUUUGCUCUGAACAAGGCAUGCCAGUGGGUGUGUUGAGUGUAGGGGUUGAUUAGCGCCGGCUAACUACGUG